AGAGUUUGAUCAUGGCUCAGAAUCAACGCUGGCGGCGUGCCUAACACAUGCAAGUCGAACGCGAAAGUCCCGCAAGGGAUCAGUAGAGUGGCAAACGGGUGAGUAACGCGUGGGCGACCUACCUCUGAGUGGGGGAUAACCUUCCGAAAGGAGGGCUAAUACCGCAUGACAUCCCGUGUUUGGAUACACGGAAAUCAAAGUCGGGGAUCGCAAGACCUGACGCUUGGAGAGGGGCCCGCGUCCGAUUAGCUAGUUGGUGGGGUAACGGCUCACCAAGGCUUCGAUCGGUAUCCGGCCUGAGAGGGCGGACGGACACACUGGAACUGAGACACGGUCCAGACUCCUACGGGAGGCAGCAGUGGGGAAUUGUUCGCAAUGGGCGCAAGCCUGACGACGCAACGCCGCGUGGAGGAUGAAGACCUUCGGGUCGUAAACUCCUUUCGACCGAGAUGAAUUCUCGCCGGCCUAACAUGCCGGCGGGGUGACAGUAUCGAGGGAAGCAGCCCCGGCUAACUCCGUGCCAGCAGCCGCGGUAAUACGGGGGGGGCAAGCGUUGUUCGGAAUUACUGGGCGUAAAGGGUCUGUAGGUGGCCAACUAAGUCAGACGUGAAAUCCCUCAGCUUAACUGGGGAACUGCGUCUGAAACUGGAUGGCUUGAGUGCAGGAGAGGAACGCGGAAUUCCAGGUGUAGCGGUGAAAUGCGUAGAUAUCUGGAGGAACACCGGUGGCGAAAGCGGCGUUCUGGACUGCUACUGACACUGAGAGACGAAAGCCAGGGGAGCAAACGGGAUUAGAUACCCCGGUAGUCCUGGCCCUAAACGAUGAAUGCUUGGUGUGGCGGGUAUCGAUCCCUGCCGUGCCGUAGUUAACGCGUUAAGCAUUCCGCCUGGGGGAGUACG
Molecule: ribosomal RNA, 899 nt
Filed under: uncultured bacterium
Lineage: Bacteria
Description: bacterial SSU rRNA
Rfam family: Bacterial small subunit ribosomal RNA
Source: RNAcentral